UAGGGAAUCUUCCGCAAUGGACGAAAGUCUGACGGAGCAACGCCGCGUGUAUGAAGAAGGUUUUCGGAUCGUAAAGUACUGUUGUUAGAGAAGAACACCCAGUAAAGUAACUGUUACUGGAUUGACGGUAUCUAACCAGAAAGUGACGGCUAACUACGUGCCAGCAGCCGCGGUAAUACGUAGGUCACAAGCGUUGUCCGGAUUUAUUGGGCGUAAAGGGAGCGCAGGCGGUCUGUUAAGUCUGAUGUGAAAGCCCACGGCUCAACCGUGGAACUGCAUUGGAAACUGGUAGACUUGAGUGCAGAAGAGGAAAGUGGAAUUCCAUGUGUAGCGGUGAAAUGCGUAGAUAUAUGGAGGAACACCAGUGGCGAAGGCGACUUUCUGGUCUGUAACUGACGCUGAGGCUCGAAAGCGUGGGGAGCGAACAGG
RNAcentral lists this ribosomal RNA (429 nucleotides) under uncultured bacterium. RNAcentral describes it as "bacterial SSU rRNA". It matches the Rfam family "Bacterial small subunit ribosomal RNA", at positions 355 to 776 of the family's 1533-position model. The record is from RNAcentral.